GGUGGCUCAGUGUUAGAGUACUUGCCUUGCAUGCAUGAGGCCCUGGGUUCAAUUCCUCAGCACCA
Molecule: transfer RNA, 65 nt
Filed under: Dipodomys ordii (Ord's kangaroo rat)
Lineage: Eukaryota; Metazoa; Chordata; Mammalia; Rodentia; Heteromyidae
Rfam family: tRNA
About the family: Transfer RNA (tRNA) molecules are approximately 80 nucleotides in length. Their secondary structure includes four short double-helical elements and three loops (D, anti-codon, and T loops). Further hydrogen bonds mediate the characteristic L-shaped molecular structure. tRNAs have two regions of fundamental functional importance: the anti-codon, which is responsible for specific mRNA codon recognition, and the 3' end, to which the tRNAs corresponding amino acid is attached (by aminoacyl-tRNA synthetases). tRNAs cope with the degeneracy of the genetic code in two manners: having more than one tRNA (with a specific anti-codon) for a particular amino acid; and 'wobble' base-pairing, i.e. permitting non-standard base-pairing at the 3rd anti-codon position.
Source: Rfam by way of RNAcentral